This 266-nucleotide ribosomal RNA is filed under the name uncultured bacterium. RNAcentral's name for it is "partial 16S ribosomal RNA". It matches the Rfam family "Bacterial small subunit ribosomal RNA", at positions 91 to 354 of the family's 1533-position model. The record is from RNAcentral.
CGGACCGGCGCACGGGUGAGUAACGCGUAUGCAACUUGCCUAUCAGGAGGGGGAGUAACCCGGCGAAAGUCGGACUAAUACCGCAUGAAGCAGGGGCCCCGCAUGGGGAUAUUUGCUAAAGAUUCAUCGCUGAUAGAUAGGCAUGCGUUCCAUUAGGCAGUUGGCGGGGUAACGGCCCACCAAACCGACGAUGGAUAGGGGUUCUGAGAGGAAGGUCCCCCACAUUGGUACUGAGACACGGACCAAACUCCUACGGAAGGCAGCAG